Molecule: ribosomal RNA, 460 nt
Filed under: uncultured bacterium
Lineage: Bacteria
Description: partial 16S ribosomal RNA
Rfam family: Bacterial small subunit ribosomal RNA
Source: RNAcentral
CCUACGGGAGGCAGCAGUGAGGAAUAUUGGUCAAUGGCCGGAAGUCUGAACCAGCCAAGUCGCGUGAGGGACGACUGCCCUAUGGGUUGUAAACCUCUUUUAUAAGGGAAGAAUAAAAGCUACGUGUACCAUGAUGCAUGUACCUUAUGAAUAAGCAUCGGCUAACUCCGUGCCAGCAGCCGCGGUAAUACGGAGGAUGCGAGCGUUAUCCGGAUUUAUUGGGUUUAAAGGGUGCGUAGGGGGGUUUUUAAGUUAGUGGUUAAAGGUUGGGGCUUAACCUUGAAAUUGCAAUUAAUACUGUCAGACUAGAGUUCAGACGAGGUAGGCGGAAUGAGUGGAGUAGCGGUGAAAUGCUUAGAUAUAACGUAGAACUCCGAUAGCGAAGGCAGCUUACUAGACUGCGACUGACGCUGAAGCACGAGAGCGUGGGUAGCAAACAGGAUUAGAUACCCGUGUAGUC